Acanthosepion pharaonis is the source of this 112-nucleotide non-coding RNA. Lineage: Eukaryota; Metazoa; Mollusca; Cephalopoda; Sepiida; Sepiidae. The record is from the annotation of a GenBank genome assembly.
UACGGUCACAUUACAUUGAAACACCGGCUCCCGUACGAUCACCAAAAUAAAGCAACGUUGAGACCGGUCAGUAUUUAGAUGGGUGACCGCUUGGGAAUAGAAGGUUCUGUAA